UCCCAGCAAGACUGGGCAUGACGCGUUUUGGGGACGAUACAGUGAUAGUUGUAUAGGUUGUAUGUUCACGUUGACUUCAGCAACUAUGAAGCUCCUUGCUCUUGUGUGUCUCUGUGUCCUGACUCGGUCCGGAUUCACGUCAGCGGAUGAAAACGAUGGUGUCUUAAAAGACAGAUCACAGGAAAACAUCCCAGGUGCAGCUCCAGAGCCGUACAUAAAGAUACAUGAAGCAAGGGACUGGUCAUUGCUGAUGUGUGAAGUUCGAGGGGCUUUUCCAAAACCUAAAGUAGAGUGGAAGAGCGGUGCUGGAAACAUCAUUCGUGCUGAGCAGACAGAGGUCUCAGAUAAAGGAGGCAGCUUCGACAUCACUGUCUCAAUAACUGCAAACAAGAGUGACUACUAUCGGUGUGUAGUCACACAGGAGGAAAUCAAGCAUCGGAUUUCUGCUGAAACUUAUCUGUAUUUCGAGAGUGCAGCUUCAAAACCAUCCAUCACUACACUUGAGCAAACAAAGGACUGGUCACUGCUGCAGUGUGAAGUCCGAAGCCCUUCUUCAAGACCAAAAGUAGAGUGGCAGGACAGCGCUGGAAACAAACUUCCUGCUGAAGACACAUCGUCUAGACUAAUACCAGACCGUUUUACUCUACAAACUACUGUGACCAAGACUGACUACUAUCGCUGUGUAGCCACACAGGAGGAAAUCAACCAUCAGAUUUCCGCUAAGACAUAUGUGUAUAUCGUGUUCUAACGUGGUCUGCUCCAACAUCACCCUCCAAACUUGUGAGACCAAAACUACAACCAACCCCCAAGCUGUGCUGCCAAGCAGGAGGAAGCUGUCAAUAAAUAGUCUGUGUGGAGACUGUGAUGUCCAGUCUGAUGUAGAUGAUAUACAGUUACACUCUGAGUCUUCAUGUUACUUUGACUUUUUGCCUUCUGUUUCAGGGUCCUCCACUGGAUGGAUUGUUGCAGUUAUAAUUCUUGCCAUUGCAGUUGUCAUUCUAGCUGCAGUUGUAGCCAAGCUUUGCAUCACACUAAAAAGUAACUAAGGUUAAACAACAGAGACAACAGUACCCCUCAACUCCUGAUAUCGGCCAAUUUUGUUGGCUGACUAAUAUAUCGGUUGGGCUCUAAUCCAGACAUAUCCUGAGGUAAAGCUUGAUGUUAUCAAGUUUAACUGUUGUACUGUUGAACCAAGGGUGCAAUGCAUGCUUUUGAACCCUCGUAGAACAGGGCCUACCAAAAGUCAUACCUGAGACAAUAUGCACGAUGCUGUAUUAUUCUACUUAUUAAAAAGUACUGCAGUGAGAUUAUGUGUACAGUAGAACUAGAAUAACAACAUAAAUGUUAAUGAGCAGGGCCUCACAUGUCAAAUCCCCAUGCAACCAUUCUGCAUUUUGGUACAUAUAUACUAUGUCUUCAUAUAAAUGCAUGCUUGUUAUAAUUUCUGCAAUACCUCAUGUGUCAUAAUAACUUGUCAGAAAUUGAUUGCCAUGUGGGAGUUUAUUUCAUUUUAAUCUUACGGGUUUUAUUCUGUGAUUGAUGUCAGGUUUUAGGUAUCGUUCCGCAGGUGAGAGAGCCCAACUUUCAAAUAUGUGAAGUAAUGUGAAGUAAACAAUAUUAAUUCUAAUUCUAUAAAAUCAAAACCCAAAGUUUUACCCAAAGUCGGCACCUUGUCCUCUUGAUUUCUCCUUUUUGAGGAUCCAGUUGAAUUCUGGACCUGGAUCUACCAUAAAUUAGUGAGUGCUGAAUUGCUUCACACUCUUCCCAGGGGCAUCUUUAACUUUCAACUGCUGAACGGUGCAUUAAUCCAUCAAAUCAGUUUUAUUGGUAAACAUCAAGGAUAUCAUUUACAGAUGUUACCAAGUCUACACAGCGGCCCUCUUUCAUUCAUAAAUCCUUCAUUCUUGUGUUCGUGGCACUGACUUAUUCCUCAUUUAUUUGUCAUUUAUUCAUGUAUUUGUCUGGUAAGUAAUGUAGUUUGUAGUUCAAUAAACAUUUCAUUUAUGAAGAACUUGAUCCUGUGAUUUUUGUGUGAAUUAAAUAUAAAGGGUUCCUCAAGUAAAAGUGAAAUU
This is an RNA transcript of Epinephelus fuscoguttatus (brown-marbled grouper), 2072 nucleotides long. RefSeq lists it as uncharacterized. Lineage: Eukaryota; Metazoa; Chordata; Actinopteri; Perciformes; Serranidae. The record is from RefSeq and is a predicted model, not a curated record. The transcript has 6 exons.